GAAUCAAGAUAUUUUCAAAAUAAAGCUUCUAACUUUAAUUAUUAAGCGGUGCAAAUCCGUUUUUGAUUCU
RNAcentral lists this transfer RNA (70 nucleotides) under Curculionidae sp. 4 AH-2016. Its description in RNAcentral is "tRNA-Ser". The record is from RNAcentral. Lineage: Eukaryota; Metazoa; Arthropoda; Insecta; Coleoptera; Curculionidae.